This 496-nucleotide ribosomal RNA is filed under the name uncultured bacterium. RNAcentral's name for it is "partial 16S ribosomal RNA". It matches the Rfam family "Bacterial small subunit ribosomal RNA", at positions 28 to 506 of the family's 1533-position model. The record is from RNAcentral.
GAUGAACGCUGGCGGCGUGCCUAAUACAUGCAAGUCGAGCGAACAGACGAGGAGCUUGCUCCUCUGACGUUAGCGGCGGACGGGUGAGUAACACGUGGAUAACCUACCUAUAAGACUGGGAUAACUUCGGGAAACCGGAGCUAAUACCGGAUAAUAUAUUGAACCGCAUGGUUCAAUAGUGAAAGACGGUUUUGCUGUCACUUAUAGAAGGAUCCGCGCCGCAUUAGCUAGUUGGUAAGGUAACGGCUUACCAAGGCGACGAUGCGUAGCCGACCUGAGAGGGUGAUCGGCCACACUGGAACUGAGACACGGUCCAGACUCCUACGGGAGGCAGCAGUAGGGAAUCUUCCGCAAUGGGCGAAAGCCUGACGGAGCAACGCCGCGUGAGUGAUGAAGGUCUUCGGAUCGUAAAACUCUGUUAUUAGGGAAGAACAAAUGUGUAAGUAACUAUGCACGUCUUGACGGUACCUAAUCAGAAAGCCACGGCUAACUACGU